RNAcentral lists this ribosomal RNA (490 nucleotides) under uncultured bacterium. RNAcentral's name for it is "partial 16S ribosomal RNA". It matches the Rfam family "Bacterial small subunit ribosomal RNA", at positions 30 to 507 of the family's 1533-position model. The record is from RNAcentral.
AUUGAACGCUGGCGGCAGGCCUAACACAUGCAAGUCGAACGGUAACAGGAAGAAGCUUGCUUCUUUGCUGACGAGUGGCGGACGGGUGAGUAAUGUCUGGGAAACUGCCUGAUGGAGGGGGAUAACUACUGGAAACGGUAGCUAAUACCGCAUAACGUCGCAAGACCAAAGAGGGGGACCUUCGGGCCUCUUGCCAUCGGAUGUGCCCAGAUGGGAUUAGCUAGUAGGUGGGGUAACGGCUGACCUAGGCGACGAUCCCUAGCUGGUCUGAGAGGAUGACCAGCCACACUGGAACUGAGACACGGUCCAGACUCCUACGGGAGGCAGCAGUGGGGAAUAUUGCACAAUGGGCGCAAGCCUGAUGCAGCCAUGCCGCGUGUAUGAAGAAGGCCUUCGGGUUGUAAAGUACUUUCAGCGGGGAGGAAGGGAGUAAAGUUAAUACCUUUGCUCAUUGACGUUACCCGCAGAAGAAGCACCGGCUAACUCCGUG